This 468-nucleotide ribosomal RNA is filed under the name uncultured bacterium. Its description in RNAcentral is "partial 16S ribosomal RNA". It matches the Rfam family "Bacterial small subunit ribosomal RNA", at positions 28 to 507 of the family's 1533-position model. The record is from RNAcentral.
GACGAACGCUGGCGGCGUGCUUAACACAUGCAAGUCGAACGGAAAGGCCCUGCUUUUGUGGGGUGCGCGAGUGGCGAACGGGUGAGUAACACGUGAGUAACCUGCCCUUGACUUUGGGAUAACUUCAGGAAACUGGGGCGAAUACCGGAUAUGAGCUCCUGCUGCAUGGUGGGGGUGGGAAAGUUUCGGUGGUUGGGGAUGGACUCGCGGCUUAUCAGCUUGUUGGUGGGGUAGUGGCUUACCAAGGCUUUGACGAGUAGCCGGCCUGAGAGGGUGACCGGCCACAUUGGGCCUGAGAUACGGGCCAGAGUCCUACGGCAGGCAGCAGUGGGGAAUAUUGCACAAUGGGCGGAAGCCUGAUGCAGCAACGCCGCGUGCGGGAUGACGGCCUUCGGGUUGUAACCCGCUUUCGCCUGUGACGAAGCGUGAGUGACGGUAAUGGGUAAAGAAGCACCGGCUAACUACGUG